This 107-nucleotide small nuclear RNA is filed under the name Theropithecus gelada (gelada). Lineage: Eukaryota; Metazoa; Chordata; Mammalia; Primates; Cercopithecidae. The record is from RNAcentral.
GUACUUGCUUUGGCAGCACAUAUAUUAAAAUUGGAAAGACACAGAGCAGAUCAGCAUGGCCCCUGCACAAGGGUGACAUGCAAAUUCAUGAAGCAUUCCAUAUUUUU